GACGACGCUGGCGGCGUGGAUUAGGCAUGCAAGUCGAACGGUAUCAUCCUUUCGGGGAUGAGAGAGUGGCGAACGGGUGAGUAACACGUAGGUGAUCUACCCUCAAGACGGGGACAACCCAGGGAAACUUGGGCUAAUACCGGAUGUGAGCUAUCGUGAGAUAGUUUGAAAGGUGGCUUCGGCUGCCGCUUGAGGAUGAGCCUGCGUCCUAUUAGCUAGUUGGUGAGGUAACGGCUCACCGAGGCAGUGAUAGGUAGGCGGCCUUAACGGGUGGUCGCCCACACUGGGAUUGAGAUACGGCCCAGACUCCUACGGGAGGCAGCAGUCGAGAAUAGUCUACAAUGGUCGAAAGACUGAUAGUGCGACGCCGCGUGAACGAAGAAGCCCUUCGGGGUGUAAAGUUCUUUUAUAUGUGAGCAGUGACAUCUAUAUUAAUAGUAUGGGUGUAGAGAUAUUAGCAUAUGAAUAAGCAACGGCUAACUCCGUG
RNAcentral lists this ribosomal RNA (487 nucleotides) under uncultured bacterium. RNAcentral describes it as "bacterial SSU rRNA". It matches the Rfam family "Bacterial small subunit ribosomal RNA", at positions 33 to 507 of the family's 1533-position model. The record is from RNAcentral.